UCCCUAGGUGAACCUGCGGAAGGAUCAUUAGUGAAAUUAGAGCGUAACUUCGGUUAGCUCAACCUUCAUUUUCCAACUCUGUGCACUAUUGGCGGACUGGGAGCAAGUAAAUGCUAUUCAGUCUGCGGCUCACUAUUAAACAUUAGUUAAAGUAUGUAUAUAAAAACAAAACAAAAAAACUUUCAACAACGGAUCUCUUGGCUCUCGCAUCGAUGAAGAACGCAGCGAAAAGUGAUAAGUAAAGUGAAAUGCAGAAAUCAGUGAAACAUCGAAACUUUGAACGCACCUUGCGCUCUCUGGUAUUCCCGAGAGCAUGUCUGUUUGAGUGUCAUGAACUCUUCAACCUACCCAUUUCUAGUAAAACGGAUUAGUGUUUGGAUUUUGAACGCUUGCUGGCCUUUAUUGGCGAAGCUCGUUCGUAAAAGAUUAGCAUCUCAUAUUCGAAAAACGGAUUGACUCAGUGUAAAAGACUAUUCGCUGAGGACGCUCUUUCGGGAGUGGCCCAGUUUUGUAAAGUAGAAGCUUCUAAAUCUAUUAGUCAACUUUAGAUUAGACCUCAGAUCAGGCAGGAUUACCCCCUGAACUUAAGCAUAUCAAAAAGCGGAGGAAAAG
Molecule: ribosomal RNA, 612 nt
Filed under: Curvibasidium cygneicollum
Lineage: Eukaryota; Fungi; Basidiomycota; Microbotryomycetes
Description: eukaryotic LSU rRNA
Rfam family: 5.8S ribosomal RNA (bases 178-331)
Source: RNAcentral